CCUACGGGUGGCAGCAGUGAGGAAUAUUGCUCAAUGGGCGAGAGCCUGAUCCAGCGACGUCGCGUGAGGGAGUACUGCCCUAUGCGUUGUAAACCUCUUUUGUCGGGGAGCAAAUGACGGACGCUUCCGGCUGUGAGCCUACUCGUUGCAAACGCACCGCCUAAGUCCGUCCCAGCAGCCGCGGUAAUACGGGGGAUGCGAGCGUUAUCUGGAUUUAUGGGGUCUAAAGGGUCCGCGGGGGGAUUGUUCAGUCAGCGGGCAAAUCGUGGGGCUAAACCCCCUCCAGCCGUUGAACUUGGGGGGCUAGAGUGUACGAGAGGUAGGCGGAAUGCGUGGUGUAGCGGUGAAAUGCAUAGAUAUCAGGAAGAACCCCGGUGGCGAAGGCAGCAUGCCGGAGCACAACUGACGCUCAGGCACGAAAGCGUGGGUAGCGAACAGGAUUAGAUACCCGAGUAGUC
Molecule: ribosomal RNA, 458 nt
Filed under: uncultured bacterium
Lineage: Bacteria
Description: partial 16S ribosomal RNA
Rfam family: Bacterial small subunit ribosomal RNA
Source: RNAcentral